Molecule: transfer RNA, 70 nt
Filed under: Demequina activiva
Lineage: Bacteria; Bacillati; Actinomycetota; Actinomycetes; Micrococcales; Demequinaceae
Description: tRNA-Phe
Source: RNAcentral
GCUCGAGGUUGAUCGACAGGAUCCCCGCGUUGAAGGUGCGGGCGGUGAGGUUCGACUCGUCGUGCAGGCG